GACGAACGCUGGCGGCGUGCUUAACACAUGCAAGUCGAACGGAAAGGCCCUGCUUUUGUGGGGUGCUCGAGUGGCGAACGGGUGAGUAACACGUGAGUAACCUGCCCUUGACUUUGGGAUAACUUCAGGAAACUGGGGCUAAUACCGGAUAGGAGCUCCUGCUGCAUGGUGGGGGUUGGAAAGUUUCGGCGGUUGGGGAUGGACUCGCGGCUUAUCAGCUUGUUGGUGGGGUAGUGGCUUACCAAGGCUUUGACGGGUAGCCGGCCUGAGAGGGUUACCGGCCACAUUGGGACUGAGAUGCGGCCCAGACCCCAACGGGAGGCAGCAGUGGAGAAUAUUACACAAUGGGCGGAAGCAUGAUGCAGCAACGCCGCGUGCGGGAUGACGGCCUUCGGGUUGUAAACCGCUUUCGCCUGUGACGAAGCGUGAGUGACGGUAAUGGGUAAAGAAGCACCGGCUAACUACGUG
Molecule: ribosomal RNA, 468 nt
Filed under: uncultured bacterium
Lineage: Bacteria
Description: partial 16S ribosomal RNA
Rfam family: Bacterial small subunit ribosomal RNA
Source: RNAcentral